AACGAACGCUGGCGGCAUGCCUAACACAUGCAAGUCGAACGAGACCUUCGGGUCUAGUGGCGCACGGGUGCGUAACGCGUGGGAACCUGCCCUUAGGUUCGGAAUAACUCCCCGAAAGGGGUGCUAAUACCGGAUAAUGUCUUCGGACCAAAGAUUUAUCGCCUUUGGAUGGGCCCGCGUGGGAUUAGCUAGUUGGUAGGGUAAAAGCAUACCAAGGCGACGAUCCAUAGCUGGUCUGAGAGGAUGAUCAGCCACACUGGGACUGAGACACGGCCCAGACUCCUACGCGAGGCAGCAGUGGGGAAUAUAGGACACUGGGCUAAAGCCUGAAGCAGCAAUGCCGCGUGAGUGAUGAAGGCCUUAGGGUUGUAAAGCUCUUUUACCCGGGAUGAUAAUGACAGUACCGGGAGAAUAAGCCCCGGCUAACUCCGUG
Molecule: ribosomal RNA, 433 nt
Filed under: uncultured bacterium
Lineage: Bacteria
Description: partial 16S ribosomal RNA
Rfam family: Bacterial small subunit ribosomal RNA
Source: RNAcentral